RNAcentral lists this ribosomal RNA (432 nucleotides) under uncultured bacterium. Its description in RNAcentral is "bacterial SSU rRNA". It matches the Rfam family "Bacterial small subunit ribosomal RNA", at positions 358 to 782 of the family's 1533-position model. The record is from RNAcentral.
GGAAUCUUGCGCAAUGGGGGAAACCCUGACGCAGCAACGCCGUGUGAGUGAUGAAGGCUUUCGGGUCGUAAAGCUCUGUUUGAAGGGACGAAACGUAUUUGACUAAUACUCAAAUAACUUGACGGUACCUUCGGAGGAAGCACCGGCUAACUCCGUGCCAGCAGCCGCGGUAAUACGGAGGGUGCAAGCGUUGUUCGGAAUCACUGGGCGUAAAGGGCGUGUAGGUGGCUAAUUAAGUCAGGUGUGAAAUCCUUCCGCUUAACGGAAGAAGUGCACUUGAAACUGCUUAGCUAGAGUACGAGAGAGGAAGGUGGAAUUCCUGGUGUAGAGGUGAAAUUCAUAGAUAUCGGGAAGAACACCGGUGGCGAAGGCGGCCUUCUGGCUCGAUACUGACGCUGAGACGCGAAAGCGUGGGGAGCAAACAGGAUUAGA